GCGCUUGCUUCAGCAGCACAUAUACUGAAAUUGGAACAACACAGAGAAGAUUAGUGAGGAGGACGUGCAAAUUCGUGAAGAGUUCCAUAUUUUA
This 94-nucleotide small nuclear RNA is filed under the name Microcebus murinus (gray mouse lemur). The record is from RNAcentral. Lineage: Eukaryota; Metazoa; Chordata; Mammalia; Primates; Cheirogaleidae.